Molecule: ribosomal RNA, 481 nt
Filed under: uncultured bacterium
Lineage: Bacteria
Description: bacterial SSU rRNA
Rfam family: Bacterial small subunit ribosomal RNA
Source: RNAcentral
GACGAACGCUGGCGGCGUGCCUAACACAUGCAAGUCGAACGAGAAUCUUAAAGACGGAGGCUUCGGCCAAAGACUUUAAGAGGAAAGUGGCGGACGGGUGAGUAACGCGUGAGUAACCUGCCUCUAAGAGGGGGACAACAGUUGGAAACGACUGCUAAUACCGCAUAAAGUUAUUGUGUCGCAUGACACGGAUAACCAAAGAUUUUAUCGCUUAGAGAUGGACUCGCGUCUGAUUAGAUAGUUGGUGAGGUAACGGCUCACCAAGUCGACGAUCAGUAGCCGGACUGAGAGGUUGAACGGCCACAUUGGGACUGAGAUACGGCCCAGACUCCUACGGGAGCAGCAGUGGGGAAUAUUGCGCAAUGGGGGCAACCCUGACGCAGCAACGCCGCGUGAGUGAAGAAGUAUUUCGGUAUGUAAAGCUCUAUCAGCAGGGAAGAUAAUGACGGUACCUGACUAAGAAGCUCCGGCUAAAUACGUG